RNAcentral lists this ribosomal RNA (259 nucleotides) under uncultured bacterium. Its description in RNAcentral is "partial 16S ribosomal RNA". It matches the Rfam family "Bacterial small subunit ribosomal RNA", at positions 795 to 1052 of the family's 1533-position model. The record is from RNAcentral.
CCACGCUGUAAACGUUGGGAACUAGGUGUGGGGAUGCUAUCCUGUGUUUCUGCGCCGUAGCUAACGCAUUAAGUUCCCCGCCUGGGGAGUACGGUCGCAAGGCUAAAACUCAAAGGAAUUGACGGGGGCCCGCACAAGCGGCGGAGCAUGCGGAUUAAUUCGAUGCAACGCGAAGAACCUUACCAAGGCUUGACAUACACUGCGAUGGUUCCAGAGAUGGGCCAGCCUUCGGGGUGGUGUACAGGUGGUGCAUGGUUGU